Molecule: ribosomal RNA, 468 nt
Filed under: uncultured bacterium
Lineage: Bacteria
Description: partial 16S ribosomal RNA
Rfam family: Bacterial small subunit ribosomal RNA
Source: RNAcentral
GACGAACGCUGGCGGCGUGCUUAACACAUGCAAGUCGAACGGAAAGGCCCUGCUUUUGUGGGGUGCUCGAGUGGCGAACGGGUGAGUAACACGUGAGUAACCUGCCCUUGACUUUGGGAUAACUUCAGGAAACUGGGGCUAAUACCGGAUAGGAGCUCCUGCUGCAUGGUGGGGGUUGGAAAGUUUCGGCGGUUGGGGAUGGACUCGCGGCUUAUCAGCUUGUUGGUGGGGUAGUGGCUUACCAAGGCUUUGACGGGUAGCCGGCCUGGGAGGGUGACCGGCCACAUUGGGACUGAGGUACGGCCCAGACUCCUACGGGAGGCAGCAGGGGGGAAUAUUGCACAAUGGGCGGAAGCCUGAUGCAGCAACGCCGCGUGCGGGAUGACGGCCUUCGGGUUGUAAACCGCUUUCGCCUGUGACGAAGCGUGAGUGACGGUAAUGGGUAAAGAAGCACCGGCUAACUACGUG